This 651-nucleotide ribosomal RNA is filed under the name Pediococcus pentosaceus. RNAcentral's name for it is "bacterial SSU rRNA". It matches the Rfam family "Bacterial small subunit ribosomal RNA", at positions 90 to 728 of the family's 1533-position model. Lineage: Bacteria; Bacillati; Bacillota; Bacilli; Lactobacillales; Lactobacillaceae. The record is from RNAcentral.
AGUGAGUGGCGAACGGGUGAGUAACACGUGGGUAACCUGCCCAGAAGUAGGGGAUAACACCUGGAAACAGAUGCUAAUACCGUAUAACAGAGAAAACCGCAUGGUUUUCUUUUAAAAGAUGGCUCUGCUAUCACUUCUGGAUGGACCCGCGGCGUAUUAGCUAGUUGGUGAGGUAAAGGCUCACCAAGGCAGUGAUACGUAGCCGACCUGAGAGGGUAAUCGGCCACAUUGGGACUGAGACACGGCCCAGACUCCUACGGGAGGCAGCAGUAGGGAAUCUUCCACAAUGGACGCAAGUCUGAUGGAGCAACGCCGCGUGAGUGAAGAAGGGUUUCGGCUCGUAAAGCUCUGUUGUUAAAGAAGAACGUGGGUAAGAGUAACUGUUUACCCAGUGACGGUAUUUAACCAGAAAGCCACGGCUAACUACGUGCCAGCAGCCGCGGUAAUACGUAGGUGGCAAGCGUUAUCCGGAUUUAUUGGGCGUAAAGCGAGCGCAGGCGGUCUUUUAAGUCUAAUGUGAAAGCCUUCGGCUCAACCGAAGAAGUGCAUUGGAAACUGGGAGACUUGAGUGCAGAAGAGGACAGUGGAACUCCAUGUGUAGCGGUGAAAUGCGUAGAUAUAUGGAAGAACACCAGUGGCGAAGGCGGCUGU